CGAAGGAUAGUUUAAGGUAAGUAAAAAUAUUAAUUUUGGAUAUUAAAGAUAUUCUUUUCUUUCGA
Molecule: non-coding RNA, 65 nt
Organism: Procambarus clarkii (red swamp crayfish)
Lineage: Eukaryota; Metazoa; Arthropoda; Malacostraca; Decapoda; Cambaridae
Source: the annotation of a RefSeq genome assembly